CAUCUUGCCGGAAUCCACGUGUCGGCAUGGGCGCCGCCAUUUUGCCGGAAACGACGUGUCGGCACGGGCGCCGCCAUCUUGGAUUAGGCAGCACAACACAGCAACCCUAACAGCGAGACCAGAGAGCAACCCUCACACACCAGGACAAUGACAGAACCCUCAGAGAACAACAGACCCACUGCGGCUAGAGAGCAACAGGUGUUUCUGGGCAUCUAAAGCAUAGAGGCUUUGAAGAUUCUGUGAAGUAAACAGCAUGGAAUACAGGGAGUAUUUAGACUCAUGAUUUUGGCUUUUGUGUUUAGGGGUGGUAAAGUGCAUUUGUAAUUUCUGGUUUUGUUCUUGUUUUGUUUUGUAUUUUUUUUUAGGAGGAGCGCAGCAUCCAGAGAUUCCUGGUUGUGUCAAGUACAACACUUUUUUCAGCAGAUUCAUCAUGUCACAAGAGGGAUCCGCCCAGUGUCAAGGAUGAUGUCUGAGAUUGAGGCAUCAGGUGAGUUGAGGAUUGUGAUUAGGAGAAGGAAUGUGAGCAGGCAUACAGUUAGGAAUUAUUGUGGGUGGGGGGAGGUUUGAAGGUAGCAGGGUGAAAAAGGAUGUUUAUUUGAGGACCCCCCCCCCAA
This is a long non-coding RNA of Zonotrichia leucophrys gambelii, 614 nucleotides long. RefSeq lists it as uncharacterized. The transcript is spliced from 3 exons. Lineage: Eukaryota; Metazoa; Chordata; Aves; Passeriformes; Passerellidae. The record is from RefSeq and is a predicted model, not a curated record.